CCGCGUCCUGCAGGGUGCGCCUGCGCAGGAGCGUGGGAGCCCGGGGAGGGCGAGGCGGCGACUUCCUCACCCACGUGGUCUCGGGAACGCUGCAGGUUCUUUCCGCCCCACCUCUGUGGAGUCAUAAAAACGACCAUUCACUAGACGGAUACGUUGCUUUGGUUCAGCACCAAUGCUCAUCAGAAGAGGACUGAAGAGCCCCUGAAUGGACAUGGCUACGCAGUGGAGGACAGACAGUGGGUAGGCGGUGUAUGUAGGAGAGGAAAGGAAAGCCGAGGGAGACCAGGGAAGACUCGGAUGUUACAUCGGCAAUGAAUUUUGGAUUACCUUUACAAUCACUCUC
This is a long non-coding RNA of Peromyscus leucopus (white-footed mouse), 343 nucleotides long. RefSeq lists it as uncharacterized. Lineage: Eukaryota; Metazoa; Chordata; Mammalia; Rodentia; Cricetidae. The transcript is spliced from 3 exons. The record is from RefSeq and is a predicted model, not a curated record.